GACGAACGCUGGCGGCGUGCUUAACACAUGCAAGUCGAACGGAAAGGCCCUGCUUUUGUGGGGUGCUCGAGUGGCGAACGGGUGAGUAACACGUGAGUAACCUGCCCUUGACUUUGGGAUAACUUCAGGAAACUGGGGCUAAUACCGGAUAGGAGCUCCUGCUGCAUGGUGGGGGUUGGAAAGUUUCGGCGGUUGGGGAUGGACUCGCGGCUUAUCAGCUUGUUGGUGGGGUAGUGGCUUACCAAGGCGUUGACGGGUAGCCGGCCGGAGCGGGUGAACGGCCAAAAUGGGAAUGAGGUAAGGACCAGAAUACUAGGGGAGGGAGCAGUGGGGAAUAUUGCACAAUGGGCGGAAGACUGAUGAAGGAACGCCGCGGGGGGGAUGAAGGCCUUCGGGUUGUAAACCGCUUUCGCCUGUGACGAAGCGUGAGUGACGGUAAUGGGUAAAGAAGCACCGGCUAACUACGUG
RNAcentral lists this ribosomal RNA (468 nucleotides) under uncultured bacterium. RNAcentral describes it as "partial 16S ribosomal RNA". It matches the Rfam family "Bacterial small subunit ribosomal RNA", at positions 28 to 507 of the family's 1533-position model. The record is from RNAcentral.